CACCUUAUUCGAAAAGGCCCGGCCAUGAUCAAAGUGCACCACCUCAACCGUUCCCGUUCCCACCGGAUUCUCUGACCGAUAGUGAACCAGUACCGUGAGGGAAAGGUGAAAAGCACCCCGACGAGGGGAGUGAAACAGUACCUGAAACCGAACGCCUACAAUCAGUUGGAGGGCCCUUGCGGCCUGACAGCGUACCUUUUGUAUAAUGGGUCAUCGACUUGGUCUCACGAGCAAGCUUAAGCCGUUAGGUGUAGGCGCAGCGAAAGCGAGUCUUAAUAGGGCGUUGAGUUCGUGGGAUCAGACCCGAAACCGAGUGAUCUAGGCAUGACCAGGAUGAAGGUAAGGUAACACUUACUGGAGGUCCGAACCCACACCUGUUGAAAAAGGUCGGGAUGAGUUGUGCCUAGGGGUGAAAGGCCAAUCAAACUCGGAGAUAGCUGGUUCUCUGCGAAAUCUAUUUAGGUAGAGCGUCAUCCGAAUACCCUCGGGGGUAGAGCACUGGAUGGGUAAUGGGGCCCCACAGGCUUACUGAUCCUAACCAAACUCCGAAUACCGAGGAGUA
This 562-nucleotide non-coding RNA is filed under the name Sulfitobacter sp. HI0023. Its description in RNAcentral is "Oceanibulbus sp. HI0023 Bacterial large subunit ribosomal RNA". It matches the Rfam family "Bacterial large subunit ribosomal RNA", at positions 46 to 971 of the family's 2925-position model. Lineage: Bacteria; Pseudomonadati; Pseudomonadota; Alphaproteobacteria; Rhodobacterales; Roseobacteraceae. The record is from Rfam by way of RNAcentral.